RNAcentral lists this ribosomal RNA (488 nucleotides) under Escherichia coli. RNAcentral's name for it is "partial 23S ribosomal RNA". It matches the Rfam family "Bacterial large subunit ribosomal RNA", at positions 2460 to 2925 of the family's 2925-position model. Lineage: Bacteria; Pseudomonadati; Pseudomonadota; Gammaproteobacteria; Enterobacterales; Enterobacteriaceae. The record is from RNAcentral.
AAGGUACUCCGGGGAUAACAGGCUGAUACCGCCCAAGAGUUCAUAUCGACGGCGGUGUUUGGCACCUCGAUGUCGGCUCAUCACAUCCUGGGGCUGAAGUAGGUCCCAAGGGUAUGGCUGUUCGCCAUUUAAAGUGGUACGCGAGCUGGGUUUAGAACGUCGUGAGACAGUUCGGUCCCUAUCUGCCGUGGGCGCUGGAGAACUGAGGGGGGCUGCUCCUAGUACGAGAGGACCGGAGUGGACGCAUCACUGGUGUUCGGGUUGUCAUGCCAAUGGCACUGCCCGGUAGCUAAAUGCGGAAGAGAUAAGUGCUGAAAGCAUCUAAGCACGAAACUUGCCCCGAGAUGAGUUCUCCCUGACUCCUUGAGAGUCCUGAAGGAACGUUGAAGACGACGACGUUGAUAGGCCGGGUGUGUAAGCGCAGCGAUGCGUUGAGCUAACCGGUACUAAUGAACCGUGAGGCUUAACCUUACAACGCCGAAGCUGUU